UUUUCAUAAUGCUUAUUCACACAAGUUUCCCAAUAAUGUUUGCAUAAAAUAAAAAUGAAAACCACAAAUUGAGAAAUUGGUGGACUCAAAAGCAUAGAGAAGCAUAUAAUAUUUGAUUGAAACUAAAACUUCUUUGUCUCAAGCAUCAAAAGUUUACUAGAAAUGCAUUAAUAAAGUAAAACACUGGGAGAGAUAUAUCACAGAAUUUCUCUCCCUACCUAAUGGCAAUUUAUCUUUUCUUUCCUUAACUAUCUACAACAACAUUUGUCUGUGUUGCUUAUAUUACACAGUGUAAUGUUGUUGCAUAGUCUCUAUGUCCAGUCCUUUCAGCUUCACAACAGAUUCAACAUGUCCUUUAAGGGUAUGAAGUUCACGAAGCCUCAACUUCAGCGCGUCGCUUAGCCUGCUCAGCAAUCUCAGACAAUUCUCUAUAAGUGUUCUUGUCAUU
This 448-nucleotide long non-coding RNA is filed under the name Medicago truncatula (barrel medic). RNAcentral's name for it is "lncRNA gene9206". The record is from RNAcentral. Lineage: Eukaryota; Viridiplantae; Streptophyta; Magnoliopsida; Fabales; Fabaceae.